This 72-nucleotide transfer RNA is filed under the name Camelus bactrianus (Bactrian camel). It matches the Rfam family "tRNA". Rfam says of the family: Transfer RNA (tRNA) molecules are approximately 80 nucleotides in length. Their secondary structure includes four short double-helical elements and three loops (D, anti-codon, and T loops). Further hydrogen bonds mediate the characteristic L-shaped molecular structure. tRNAs have two regions of fundamental functional importance: the anti-codon, which is responsible for specific mRNA codon recognition, and the 3' end, to which the tRNAs corresponding amino acid is attached (by aminoacyl-tRNA synthetases). tRNAs cope with the degeneracy of the genetic code in two manners: having more than one tRNA (with a specific anti-codon) for a particular amino acid; and 'wobble' base-pairing, i.e. permitting non-standard base-pairing at the 3rd anti-codon position. Lineage: Eukaryota; Metazoa; Chordata; Mammalia; Artiodactyla; Camelidae. The record is from Rfam by way of RNAcentral. RNAcentral also lists the same sequence under 1 other name.
GAGGGUACAGCUCAGGGGUGGAGCACAUGCUUAGCAUGCACGAGGUCCUGGGUUUGAUCCCUGGUACCUUCA